UCCACCCGCCUCGGUCUCUCAAAAUGCUUGGGUUACAGGCAUGAGCCACCAUGCCUGGCCUGAUAUUCUAAUUCUAUCCUUCUUCAUUUACUACUUGAAAUAUUUCUAUGAAGAAAAAUUUCACUUCACUUACUAUUUGAUUACUUAGUCAUAUAGGAAUGUAAGUUAGUACAACCACUAUGGAGACCAGUUUAGAGGUUCUUCAAAAAACCAAAACUAGAACUACCAUAUGUUCCAGCAAUCCCACUGCUGGGAUAUAUACCCAAAAUAAAGGAAAUCAGUAUAUUGAAGUCAGUAUAUUGAAGAGAUAUCUGCACACUCAUGUUCUCCGAUCCUUCUCUCAAUGCUACUUCCUUAAACCCCCAGGCUUAGGCCCUGUAUUAGUCCGUUUUCACACUGCUGAUAAAGACAUACCUGAGACUGGGGAAUUUACAAAGGAAAGAGGUUUAAUGGAGAACCAACAGUUCCACAUGGUGAUUUGCCCAGUGUCCUACUGCUUAAAGUAUCAGAGUUGAGGUUUGAACCAAAUUUGUGUGACUCCAGUUUUUUAAAUAUUUACUGUACCAAGGCUGGAGGGGGCAUGCAUGGGCCCUAGAAGGGUGCGUUGUGAUCCGCUUGCCUUGGCCUCCUGAAGUACUGGGAUUACAGAUGUGAGCCACCGCACCUGGCCAAUAACACCUUAUUUACUGAGAGAUGGCUCAAAUAUUCAUGCCCUCUUCCUCUUCUCCAAUAUCUUUUGUUUCUUUCUUCUGAGCAGAAAGUGCAAUAUAUAUAAAAUAUUAAAUGGGAUACAUGUGUAUAUGUUUGUAUGAGAGAGAGGGAGAGAAUCAGGCGUUUGAGACCAGCCUGGCCAAUAUGGUGAAAUCCCAUCUCUACUAAAAGUACAAAAAUUAGCCAGGUGUGGUGGCAUGCACCUGUAUUCCCAGCUACUCAGGAGGA
Molecule: long non-coding RNA, 939 nt
Filed under: Pan troglodytes (chimpanzee)
Lineage: Eukaryota; Metazoa; Chordata; Mammalia; Primates; Hominidae
Description: long non-coding RNA NONPTRT016402
Source: RNAcentral